UACGGAGGAUGCGAGCGUUAUCCGGAUUUAUUGGGUUUAAAGGGUGCGUAGGCGGUCCGUUAAGUCAGCGGUAAAAUUGCGGGGCUCAACCCCGUCGAGCCGUUGAUACUGUCAGACUUGAGUUGGCGAGAAGUACGCGGAAUGCGCGGUGUAGCGGUGAAAUGCAUAGAUAUCGCGCAGAACUCCGAUUGCGAAGGCAGCGUACCGGCGCCACACUGACGCUGAGGCACGAAAGCGUGGGGAUCGAACAGG
RNAcentral lists this ribosomal RNA (252 nucleotides) under uncultured bacterium. RNAcentral's name for it is "partial 16S ribosomal RNA". It matches the Rfam family "Bacterial small subunit ribosomal RNA", at positions 524 to 776 of the family's 1533-position model. The record is from RNAcentral.